RNAcentral lists this transfer RNA (76 nucleotides) under Salinibacter ruber. RNAcentral's name for it is "tRNA-His". It matches the Rfam family "tRNA". Rfam says of the family: Transfer RNA (tRNA) molecules are approximately 80 nucleotides in length. Their secondary structure includes four short double-helical elements and three loops (D, anti-codon, and T loops). Lineage: Bacteria; Pseudomonadati; Rhodothermota; Rhodothermia; Rhodothermales; Salinibacteraceae. The record is from RNAcentral.
UUGGGCGUUGGCAAGUCCGGUUUAAGCCGCCGCGUUGUGGUCGCGGUCAUCGCGGGUUCAAAUCCCGUCGCCCAAG